CCUACGGGUGGCAGCAGUGAGGAAUAUUGGUCAAUGAACGAGAGUCUGAACCAGCCAAGUAGCGUGAAGGAUGACUGCCCUAUGGGUUGUAAACUUCUUUUAUAUGGGAAUAAAAUGUUCCACGUGUGGGAUUUUGUAUGUACCAUAUGAAUAAGGAUCGGCUAACUCCGUGCCAGCAGCCGCGGUAAUACGGAGGAUCCGAGCGUUAUCCGGAUUUAUUGGGUUUAAAGGGAGCGUAGGUGGAUUGUUAAGUCAGUUGUGAAAUUUUGCGGCUCAACCGUAAAAUUGCAGUUGAAACUGGCAGUCUUGAGUACAGUAGAGGUGGGCGGAAUUCGUGGUGUAGCGGUGAAAUGCUUAGAUAUCACGAAGAACUCCGAUUGCGAAGGCAGCUCACUGGACUGCAACUGACACUGAGGCUCGAAAGUGUGGGUAUCAAACAGGAUUAGAUACCCCUGUAGUC
RNAcentral lists this ribosomal RNA (460 nucleotides) under uncultured bacterium. RNAcentral's name for it is "partial 16S ribosomal RNA". It matches the Rfam family "Bacterial small subunit ribosomal RNA", at positions 338 to 795 of the family's 1533-position model. The record is from RNAcentral.